CCAAUAGCGUAUAUUAAAGUUGUUGCAGUUAAAAAGCUCGUAGUUGAACUUCGGGGUCUACCCAUUGGUCAGGCUUAAUUGUCUGCACUGGUGAGAUGGAUCUCUACCUUCUGAGGAACUUUCAUGCCAUUUAUUUGGUGUGAUGGGAAAUCAGGACUGUUACUUUGAAAAAAUUAGAGUGUUUAAAGCAGACUAUCGUCUGAAUACAUUAGCAUGGAAUAAUGAAAUAGGACGGACUGAUUCUAUUUCGUUGGUUUCUAGGAUCACCGUAAUGAUUAAUAGUGAUAGUUGGGGGCAUUAGUAUUCAAUUGUCAGAGGUGAAAUUCUUGGAUUUAUUGAAGACUAACUACUGCGAAAGCAUUUGCCAAGGAUGUUUUCAUUAAUCAAGAACGAAAGUUAGGGGAUCGAAGACGAUCAGAUACCGUCGUAGUCUUAACCAUAAACUAUGCCGACUAUGGAUCGGACGAAGUUAAUUUUAUUAUGACGCGUUAGGAACCUUACG
Molecule: ribosomal RNA, 502 nt
Filed under: uncultured Glomeromycotina
Lineage: Eukaryota; Fungi; Glomeromycota
Description: partial small subunit ribosomal RNA
Rfam family: Eukaryotic small subunit ribosomal RNA
Source: RNAcentral